GCUAGCGCUGCCGUUGUAAGACCCCCAGGCCCUGUUGCAGACGUAAUUUUCAAAUAAAAUUUUUUUAUAUUAAAAAAAAAAACUUUUAUCUCGGUGCCUUUUCCGGUGAUGCGAGGGCAGCUUUUGCGAUGGAGAAAGCCUCCUCGGUAAUCGCGGCCAGAUUACCCCAUCUCAAUUUCCAAAGUACGCUUUCCGUUGCUCCUUAUUUACCAACUCAACCGACAAAAAAUUCACACAAUUUCUCAGUGCAUGGUGGGGGUAUUUUAAGAAUUUCGUCUGCUGCUAAUGGGAACCAUUCUUCCGUCUUCACGGGAUGAUAUGCCACGUGUCAAUCGUUCGACCGCCUUUCCUUGCUAUAUGAACACCACCGGGAUUUUUCCCGCUUUUGAAAGAAAGGAAAAUUUUUUCUUUAUUUGAGUCUGUUUAUCCUCUCUGGACUAUAAGAGACAAGAGAUAGAUAGACAGAGAAAGAGAAAACCAACUUGCUGUAAUCGACUUCUGAAACCAAGCUUUCGGUUCUGUACUCUCAAGUGGUAUAAGUAGUUCUCAGCUUCAAUCUGCUUGUUUUGAGCAAUGGCUAUCGGCAGCUAGAUUUCUAGCCGGAAUUUAUGUUCUUUUAUUGGCCCAGGCAAAGUUUAUCAAACAGAACCAACUAUUUCAUAUGACAAGGGAGAGCGAUCAGGCAUAGCUGCUGCAAAGUUUGCAAAUGGGUGCAUCUUUUAUAGAAAGUUUUAUAGUCGAAUGGCCAUUGCUUUUAUUUCCGGAUUCUCAAGUUCCCCAUUUAUUCAAGUCACCAAUCAUUCAGAUGAAAAAGCUUCAAAAUUCUUAUCAACUUAUCCCCAACAAAGAAGUUUAGGAAGAUGUGAGUGUUCUUCGUAUCCCUCUGUUUGUAAUUGGAGUCGGCUGAAACAAAGGCAUUGGCAGCAUUUUGAGUAUGUCAAGGUCAAUAGAACCUGUGCUUACCAUAAAUCCGAGGAGUAUGACAUAACAGAAGCUGCUGUGGACUCGCUGAAGUCAGCUGAGGGGUCAAUUGAGGCUGUAUUAAUAGAAGGAAAUCUGCAACCUUGUUGGCAGCAGUUUCCAAAACGCUGGGUCAUUGUGCUGCUUUGUUUUAUGGCAUUUCUAUCAUGCAACAUGGACCGUUAGGUAAACAUGAGCAUUGCAAUACUUCCAAUGUCACAAGAGUUCAAUUGGAACAGUGCAACGGUUGGUCUAAUUCAGUCAUCAUUUUUCUGGGGCUGCCUUAUGACUCAGAUUUUUGGAGGCAUUUGGGCUCAUAAAAUUGGUGGAAAGCUAGUAUUAGGUUUUGGAGUGGUUUGGUGGUCUAUAGCUACAGUUUUGACUCCUAUUGCUGCAAGAAUUGGACUCCCUUUUCUGCUGAUGAUGCGUGCUUUCAUGGGACUUGGAGAGGGUGUUGCUAUGCCUGCUAUGAAUAACAUUCUUUCUAAGUGGAUUCCUGUGUCAGAGAGAAGCAGAUCACUUGCCUUAGUUUAUAGUGGCAUGUAUCUAGGUUCUGUCACAGGAUUGGCCGUCUCUCCUAUUCUAAUCCAUAAAUUUGGGUGGCCUUCUGUCUUCUAUUCAUUUGGCUCCCUGGGCAGCAUCUGGUUUGCUUUAUGGCUAAGAAAGGCGUAUAGCUCACCGAAGGACGACCCAGAGCUUAGUGCACAGGAAGAAAAACUUAUCUUGUGGGGCAGCACAUCAAAGGAACCUGUUUCUGUCAUUCCUUGGAAAUUAAUAUUAUCAAAAGCACCUGUUUGGGCACUUAUUAUUUCUCACUUCUGCCAUAAUUGGGGUACCUUUAUUCUUUUAACAUGGAUGCCUACAUACUACAAUCAGGUAACUCAGCCAUUGCAGUGUGGUUGAUAUUUGUCUAUGCAUUUGAUUUCAGUUAUUUGUUGACAUUUGUUUUUGUAUGUUGUCUUUGUUAAUUAGAAAUGUACUUUUCUCUCUCCAUCCUUCAUCUCAUAUUCCGAGUUCUGUUCAUUUGCAUUUGAAAACAAGAUCUUUUUUUCCUUUGGGUGUAAUUUUUCUUAUGAAUCUGUUGCAGUUUAAGAAAACAGGAACAGACUUGUGAACAUCCACUUUAUAAUUUAUUAGUAUAAUUCAAUGUAAUUUCUAAGCGUCUUAUUAUUAUUUUUAAAGAGACAAAAUCUCACAAUUCAGAAAUGAGUCCAGCACUGGAUGCAUGAUUCACUUUCUUAUUCUGGAUGUAGUAGAUGCUGUUAGUGAUUGAUUCCAGAUAAGCAAGAUCUUAUAACAUGAUAGCUAAUCUCAUGAAUAAAUGAACUUACAUUUUUCCUUCUGUGGUUUUCUCAGGUUUUGAAGUUUAACCUCACUGAAUCUGGUCUAUUCUGUGUCUUGCCAUGGUUAACCAUGGCUCUUUUUGCAAAUAUUGGAGGGUGGAUUGCUGACACACUUGUAAGCAAAGGUCUUUCCAUAACUGCAGUUCGAAAGGCAAGCAUUAAAUUAUCUAUUAAUCUUAAUUUUUAUAUUGUGUCAUUAAGAUUUGAGUUUCCAAUAUAUUUUUCAAGUCUAGCCACUGCAUGUUAAUGUGGCUGAUCCUAACUCAAAUUUUCUAAAAUUUUGGUAGUUUGUAUUUCUGACCCACAAAAAGGGUAUUCUGUACACUGCUCUUGCCAUAUAUUUUCAUAACAUCCAUUGCUUCUUUUUAUUUUCCAAAUAUGGCUGUAAUGUUAUUACUGAGAAUCCAUGUGGCAGUCAUAGUUAUAAAGUUGGUUUUUGUUUGUUCAACAAUAUCUGCUUGCUAAAUGGUAAAUUAAUUUCAGGAAGAGAUCAAGAGUAUGCGAAUGGACAGUACAUCUUUCCGCAAAUGCGCACAUAUUUUUAGAUGAAGUAAACAAAUGAGAAAGUUCUAUUAUAUUUUAUAAGCUCAAAAUGUUGUAGACAUGGUGAUCUAAGUGUUCCACUUUGCUUUUUGGCAAUAAUUUUUCCUUGAUGAACUCUUUCUUUUUGUUGAGUAAUAAUUCUUUAAAACUUUUAAAUAUUGCAGAUCAUGCAAUCAAUUGGGUUUUUAGGACCAGCCUUCUUUCUCACUCAGUUGAGUCAUGUUAGGACUCCUGCCAUGGCUGUACUGUGCAUGGCAUGCAGUCAGGGAUCUGAUGCAUUCUCUCAGUCUGGUCUAUAUUCCAACCACCAAGACAUUGGCCCCCGUUAUGCUGGAGUUCUGUUAGGACUAUCAAAUACUGCGGGAGUGCUUGCUGGUGUUUUUGGCACUGCUGCAACUGGCUACAUUCUCCAAAGAGGUUCUUGGGAUGAUGUGUUUAAGGUGGCUGUAGUAUUGUACAUCAUAGGCACGUUAGUGUGGAACAUCUUUUCCACUGGAGAGAAAGUUCUUGACUAGAUCAAGGGGUGCAGGAAUGGGGUGAGGAUGCUCUACAUAAUGAAGAUGCAGUUUACAUAGCUAAGGAGAUCCAAGCGUAAAGAAAUUGAAGUAGUAAUGAGAAAAAGAUGAAAAAAAAAACCACAUUUGCAAGAUUGAAAACCUUGCUGAAACAAUUACAAGCUAAGAAGCCCUCGUCGAAGUUUUGCCGCCACCUUUUAGUCCUUUAUUUGCUCUGACAUAUUUUGGGUUGGCUUUAAAAGACCUUUUUAUCAGUUAUAUCUCCUUUUGUUUUCUUUUGCUAAUCAAGAAAGUGGUCCUUUCUUUUUCAUUUACAUGUUUUGCCAUGUAGAUGAAAUGUGGAAUUGCAGCCAUACAAUACAUGCUUUAUGUAUAGAACAUCAUUCAUCCACUUGUUGAUUUGUUGGGGUUGGGCCUUUAUAUAGCUUAGAUGAAAACUAAUUAAGGAAUGUCUAGGAUGGUAUCACUCGGCUUAAUUAGCUUGGAAACUUAUAUAACAAUUCCAUUAUAAUAUGAUAUACUAAACUGGGAGAGACUUUUCCUCUAUUGAUUUAUUAAUCAUAUAAUUAGAGAAUCAUCCAGUGGCCACACCAAAAGAUGAAAGGGAUAAAAUCAAAAAAAAAAAAUCAGACACUAAGAAAUAUGUCCCAACAGCUUAAUCACUUCCGGCAUUCAUUCUUCCCCAACCUUUUCCCUGCAUGAAAAGUCAUAUAAAGCUUUUGAUAUUGAAAGCUUGGCCUUCAAGGCAUUCUUUAAAAUUGCUAGAGCUUAUUUACCAAAGCAAGUCACAUGAACUUAAUCGACUCCAUUCGUUCUAAAUUAUGACUAAUAUAUUUACCAAAGAGAUACAAAUACUUGAAAGAAAGAGCAAUUAGAAGUACAAGAAAGCACAAUAAUUAAAGAAAAGUAACAUCAAUAAUCACUUGUUAGAUUCUAUACUUCACCAAAAAUAAAUUGACAUAACAAUUAAAUUAAUAUUGGUAUCAAUCAUGAGCAUUAUUUUCCUGUUAUUCAAUAAUGCACUUAAUUACAAGUUAAAAUGAAAGAGAGAAUGAUAUCAUAAACAAAGAAAGAAUUUAUGAAAUAUCACAAGGAUUGCCCACAUAUUAAUAAAAGCAAGAAUUAGUUCAAAAAAACUCCCUCUCUCUCUUUAUCUCUCUCUCUCUCCCCCCCUUGAUGAGCAUCUCUAUGGAACGAUUUAUGAUAUAUGAGCAGCGACUAUCUCUGCGUCUUCAAAAUCAAUGAAAAACAUAAUUAAUCACAAAGAAAUGGGCCUUACCCUUCCCCACCGGCAAUUCAAAGUCUAUCACGCAGGGUACGAUCUACCCUCCUUAAAUACCCAUCACCAACCUCACCAAUACCCAACAAGUACUUUAAACUGCACCAACUACCUCUUCUUUUACACCUCUACUAACGCCGUUACAUCUGACGUCAACUCCUUCAUGCAACUUUUCUCCUCCUCCUCCUUUUGCUUUCCUCUUAUUUGCUCUUUCUACACUUUCUUCCAAAUCCCUCUUAUGUACAUUAACCCUAAGUCCAUCUUUCAUGAACAAUGUUAACGACAUCUUCUGCUCCACCUUGUGACCUGGCACCAACGUCAGCCUAUGCCGCAGCAACAACGCUGCUGCCACCGACUUCAUUUGCAGAUAUGCUAAGCCUUUACCUAGGCAUAUUCUUGGACCUGCAUUAAAUGCUACGAAUUUAUAUGAGUCAUAUUUUAUGAACUGCUUUCCAUCUGGGGAUAACCACCUCUCUGGACGAAACUCCAAGCAGUCGUCACCCCACGUAGACCUCAUCCUUCCCGUCGCAUAUAUUGAAUACGUAACUGAUGAGCCCGCCGGCACGAAAGUGCCGUCCGGCAACACAUCAUCGGUCACCACGUGCUUUGAGUCCUGAGGCACCGACGGGUAAAGCCUUAGGGUUUCUGAUAAUGCUGCUUUUAGAUAAAUCAAGCGAUCAAGCUCCUCGAAUGCUAAUGGCUCAUCAACCCAUUUUGACACGUCAUCGCCACGUGUCUCAAUCAGGACGGUGCAUAUUUCGCUUAAGAUUUUCUCUUCCACUGAUGGGUUCUGAAUGAUCAACCAAAAGAACCAGCUGAGGGCAACUGAUGACGUGUCACGUCCAGCUAGGAUGAAGUUAAGUGCCACGUGUUGAAGGAAAGUGUCUGAGUAGGAUUCUUUCUUCUUCAUGAAUCUGGAGAGCAAGUCAUCGUGGGGGUUUCCGUCUUUUUGCUGGUGUAAAAAUAACUCUUUUUUACGGGCUUCGAUCACCGCCGUUAAGUAGUCGUCGAGCUGUUUAAGGCUUCGGUUCAAGCUUACUUCCAUGCCCAGCCUAAACCAUUUUUUGAACUUCCACAAUACUUCAGGCAAAAUAAACCGUUGAAGAGAGGCUUCGGUGGCUCUGUCAAAAGCCGAAGCGAAGCUGUUAUCUGGGAGCCCCGGCGAGCAUGUCUGCGGGUCCUUGCCGAAAGCCAAGCCGCAUAUAUUAUCGAACGUGAGCCGAAGCAGAAUGUCUUGAAGAUCUACCGGCUCGCCCUUGAGUUGAGCGGUUUCAAGAAUUGGGCAGAAUCUCAACUUUAUGGCUCGGCUAACCCAUCGAGCCAUAGCUUGGCGCAGAGUCCUGGUGGUG
Molecule: unclassified non-coding RNA, 5989 nt
Filed under: Hevea brasiliensis (rubber tree)
Lineage: Eukaryota; Viridiplantae; Streptophyta; Magnoliopsida; Malpighiales; Euphorbiaceae
Source: RNAcentral